Dreissena polymorpha is the source of this 9410-nucleotide long non-coding RNA. RefSeq lists it as uncharacterized. Lineage: Eukaryota; Metazoa; Mollusca; Bivalvia; Myida; Dreissenidae. The record is from RefSeq and is a predicted model, not a curated record. The transcript is spliced from 2 exons.
CCCCCCCCCAAAAAAAAAAUUUAUUUUUUUUUUUGCAUUUUUGAAAGAUAAUGUAAUAAAUGACCACAUCCCCACACUAUACACCCCUCUCCACUCCACCCCUCCCUCCUUUGUGAUAGAAAUUGAGAUAGGUCCCUACACCUUUAAAAAGAAAAAUAGAUGAGCGGUCUGCACCCGCAAGGUGGGUGGUGCUCUUGUAAAUAUUUAUCCCCACGAUUUUUGAAAAGCGUGGAUAUAUUGUGGUUAUCUCCGCCGUCCGUCUGUCUGUUAUUCUGUCCGUCCUGGUCACCUACACUAUAAGCACUAGAACCUUGAAACUUACACACAUGGUAGCUAUGAGCAAUCUCAACUAUGCAUGGCCCUAUUACCAACCCUGGGGCACCCGGCCCACAUAGACCACACCCACCCAAAAUUGCCUUUUACUAUAAUUUCUUCAUUUCUACACAGAUUCACUUCAAAUUGAUACUGAAAUUCUCUAAUGACAAUACGGUCAAUCUCAACUAUGCAUGACAAUGCGGUCAAUCUCAACUAUGCAUGGCCCCAUUACCAGCCCUGAGGCGCCCCACCCACAUAGGCCACACCCACCCAAAAUUGCCUUUUACUAUAACUUCUUCAUUUCAACACCGAUUCACUUCUAAUUGUUACUGAACUCUUAUGACAAUACGGUCAAUCUCAACUAUGCAUGGCCCCAUUACCAACCCUGGGGCGCCCCUGGGUCAAACAUGUGGCUUGGGGAUAAGGGUAUCACGUUUACAGAUUUUUCUAAACGUUUAAACGAAAUUAAAUAAACGAAACGUUACCGUUUAAACGGUAUCCCUAUGUCCGUUUUAAAAGCAUCAGUGCCAUCGCAUCUCCGGCUAGAUUGAACUUUACCGGUACGCAGUUGUUUACCACCAUCGACAAAGUGGGGGUUUGGGGGCGGUAGCCCCUGAUACUAAAGAAAUAUUUAGGAUAAAAGGAUAAUAAGGUGUUGCGUUAGUUGUUAGGUGUUAAGGGUUAGGGUUAGGGUACGCUGUUUGAUGUUAAGUGUUGCGUACCGGUAGUUCAAUCGUCCCGCAUCUCCAAACUGAAAGUAGCAAUUAUUUCCGGAAGUCAUAUUUAGUGCAUAUCCCAUUUGCGCAAUGACGUCAUAUUAAAACCAACUGUUCUCGUCGUUGUCGAACCAUUGGGUUACACUUUGUCUACUUACAUGCCGUAAUAUUUUGUAACAAAGACGAAUUAAUAUCGAACCAACAUUCCUUAAAUAAGAGUAAACCGGUUUUAAAAUUGUCAAUGUUUUACUUAACACGAUGUAGAUCAAAAGAUGCAUACUUCAAUUUAGGUAAAAAUAUUCCUAGACGGAGAUUGUUCGCCAUAUCUCUUGAAAUGAAUGCCGAUGAAGAAAUGUCGGAAAAAUUUCCUCGUACACUUCGUGCCGACGCACGUUGAAUGGUCAAGAUGAUUCGGGUCAUGCUCAUGCAACAAAAGGCGGGAAUUUUGUGAUGACGCGCUAUAAAUAUUCAAGACAUCCAGUCCGUACAUGGUGUAUUGUUAUGUUUACGGUAUUGUGAAUAAGGGGCAUGUGGUGCACGUGAUACAAAUAGUUUUUAAUACGAGUCUUUUUCAGCAGCUGUUAAAAAGCUUUGCAAGGUUGUAACGUAAUGAACUAAACUGAUUUAUAUUUAAAUUGACUGUCGUUUAAACGUUUACAGUUUUUGUAAACGUUUUUUACCAAAACACGAAACGCGACCGAUUAAACGUGAUACCCUUACUUGGGGAUACGCUUCGGCCUCUGCUGUGCCAUUUCUAGUUUAGCUUUAUUUUACAAAAUAUUUUACAUAAAUUUCGUUGAUUUUGAGUACUAAUGUUACUUAAAGUUUUGUGUUUAGGUCCACUUUAUUACUAAAGUAUCAAAGCUAUUGCUUUCAUACUUGCAACACUUACUAUCAUAAGUGGACUGUGCAGGCAAAGUAAUGUAAGUCUGACUGGCAUUUUGACAGAAUUAUGGCCCCUUUUAUUCUUAGAAAAUUGAACAUUUGGUUAAGUUUUGGUCCAUUUUACUUCUUAAGUAUCAUAGCUAUUGCUUUCAGACUUGGACGACUCGCUAACUAUCAUAAGGGAUUAUACAGGACAAGUUGCAUAACUGGUUGGCAUUUUGACAGAAUUGUGGCCCUUUUUUGACUUAGUAACUUUUAAUAUUUUGUUAAAUUUUGUGUUAAGAUGCACUUAACUUCUAAAGUAUCAAGGCUAUUGCUUUCAAACUUCGAAUACUUUCUUGCUAUCAUGAGAGUAAUGUAACUGCAAGUUGAAUUUGAUCUUGACCUUUGAAUGACCUUAAAUCUCAAGGUCAAAUAAAUUAAUUUUGCUUAAAUUGCCAUAACUUCUUUAUUUUGGAUCAGAUUUCAAAAAAAAAAAGAUAAUGAUAAUAAUUUUUUGUUCUUAUUUUUAUGCCCCCCUUCGUCGAAGAGGGGGUAUAUUGUUUUGCACAUGUCGGUCCGUAUGUCCGUCCUUCCACCAGAUGGUUUCCGAAUGAUAACUCAAGAACGCUUAGGCCUAGGAUCAUGAAACUUCAUAGGUACAUUGAUCAUGACUGGCAGAUGACCCCUAUUGAUUUUCAGGUCACUAGGUCAAAGGUCAAGGUCACGGUGACCCGAAAUAGUAAAAUGGUGUCCGGAUGAUAACUUGAGAACGCUUAUGCCUAGGAUCAUGAAACUUCUUAGGUAUAUUGAUCAUGACUUGCAGAUGACCCCUAUUUAUUUUCAGGUCACUAGGUCAAGGUCACGGUGACCCGAAAUAGUAAAAUGGUUUCUGGAUGAUAACUCAAGAACCCUUAUGCCUAGGAUCAUGAAACUUCAUAGGUACAUUGAUCAUGACUCGCAGUUGACCCCUAUUGAUUUUCAGGUCACUAGGUCAAAGGUCGAGGUCACGGUGACUCAACUUAGAAAAAUGGUUUCCGGAUGAUAACUCAAGAAAGCUUACGUCUAGGAUCAUGAAACUUCAUAGGUACAUUGAUCAUGACUCGCAGAUGACCCUAUUGAUUUUCAGGUCACUAGGUCAAAGGUCAAGGUCACAGUGCCAAAAAACGUAUUCACACAAUGGCUGCCACUACAAUUGACAGCCCAUAUGGGGGGCAUGCAUGUUUUACAAACAGCCCUUGUUUGUGUCAGAUUCAGCCCCAAUUCCAAUUUUUAACAUGUAUAUUUUUUCCGAAAUGGAUGCCUACAAUUUCCAAUCUUAGCCCCCCAACUCGUUUUUAACUAUGAUAUUUUUUAGAUCGCAUCAGUCAGUCCAUCUCCCUUUCUAGCUGUAUAAGUUGAACCUUAGCAAAUGUAAUGAUUAUUAAAAACACCAGGUUUGAAGAAAGGUAUAACAAAUCCUGAUUAUUAGAUUGGGGUAAAUUGUGAUCAACUUUUUUGCCGUGUGGUUGUGCAUCGUCAACAUAUGCCUUGUCAAUACUCUAUAGAGGCCACAUUUAUUGUCCGGUUUGCAUGAAACUUGGUCAGAAGAAAACUACCAAUGAUACCUUCAUGGGUGUGAUUUUUGCGCGGAUUGGGUUGUCUGGGGAGGGUCAUCACUGAGAUUCACCUUUUUUUCAGCGGACGUAUUUCUUAAACGGCCCGAAAUAUCCGCAACCUGCGGAACCUUUCGGCAUAGUACACUGGUAGAUUCUAUCUAAGCAUUUUUUAAAUGAGCGAUAUCAUUGACUUUCGUUUCCCAAUCUUCCAAUAAAAGUAGGUCUUAUAAACUUUGUUUGGUUAUUCUUUGCUGAUUAUGUGCAAAUUGCGACAUUUUGAAGUGAAAAUAAAGAUUAUAAGGAACGAAUGUAACAAAAUCUCAGAGAUGGACUAAUUAUUGAAAACCAACUUACAAUGGGAAUAGAAACAACAGUAGAUAUAUAGCAGAAAGCUGUACCAAUUUCUGAAUGGGUACGGAAGAUCGACUGUCCGGUAAGGCAAUAUAUUUCAUGUAAUAAAAUCUUGACUUUGCUUAUUUAAUAUGUUAAAUGUGAAGUUAAAAAGCUUUCAAUAAAAAAAUCUUGUUAUGAAGUUUAAGAAGGUGCUUAUUAUGCCCCUUUCGAAGAAGAGGGGUAUAUUGUUUUGCUGGAUGUCUGCCCGUCGGUCUGUUAAUUGACCGGUUUGUUUCCAAUCAAUAACUUUUCAACAAAUUGACUGAUUGGCUUGAUACUUCACAUGUGCAUUUGCCUACGACUGUAGAUGACUCCUAUUGAAAUUGGGGUUACAAGGUCAAAGUCACUGUCACAAUAAGUAUGAAAAUCGUUUCUGAUCAAUAACUCUUCAACGUAUUGACUGAUUUGCUUGAUACUUCACAUGUACAUUGGUCUUGGAAAGUUGAUAAUCCCUAUUAAAAUUGGCGUAUGACUCGUAUAUGGUAUGUUCAAUCAUCAGAGGUCCUCUAUAAAGUUGGCACUAAUUAUGCCAACUUGAGUCAAUGCCGGCCAAGCCCCAUGGGUCACAUUUUAUAUAUGGAAAUAUAGCAAACAAAUUUUGUUAAUGUGUGCGAAAGCAAAGCCCAGAGCUUUGAUAUUUAGUAUGCAACAUCAGAUAAAGGACCUCUAAUAGUUUGUUCAAAUGAGGUCUUUUGGAUCAAAACUGACUCAGGUGUCACCAAUUUAAUAUAUACAAUAUAACAAUUUUCUUCUCUUAAAUGAGAAGGCCCAUACUUAUAUUAUUAAAUAUUUUGUAUGUUGCAUCAGAUUUUGGUCCUCUACUGUAUUUUUUCGAAUCAUGCCUCUUUAGUCAAAGUUUACCGAACCUGUAUGGUGUUGUAAAUUUUUUACCUUACAAAAUGUAUAGAGACUUUGCAAGAUAUUUUAAUGUCAUAAAUACGUUACCUGCUAUCUAAUAGCUACUACCUCCACAGGUGAGUUAUAUCAUCCGGAAAUUUCUGGAGCCGGGAGCUGCAACCUAUAUUUAUGCAAUUUAGACUAGGUCGGAAUGUAGUGUAAUGUUACCUAGGCUAAAACGAUAUCCCACAAUUCAAUCUUCUUCCGAUAUAUCUAAAAAUAUUAGUUGAAGAGUGGGUGGGAGGUGGGACUCGCCGAUAGCUUUAAGUAUUUAAUAAUUAAAAUGAAUUUUACUUAAAAAAAUUGUUUUAAUGUCAUAAAUACGGAAGAUUGUAUUGUGGGAUAUCGUUUUAGCCUAGGUUACAUUACACUAUGUUCCGACCUAGUCUAAUUUGCGUAUAUAGGUGGCGGCUCUUGGCUCCAGAAAUUUCCGGAUGAUAUAACUCACUUACGGAGGUAGUAGGUAUUAGAUAGCAGGUAAGUACUUAAUAAUUAAAAUGAAUUUUACUUAUAAAAUUUGUUAACAUUAUGCCCCUUCAUUUAAAAGUAGUCUCAAGCCAGGGGUCUCAAGUAUUAUGCCUGAGCAAUAGUUUCUCAGGUGAGCGUUCAAGGAUCCUCAAGGUCAUGUAGUGAUUAUAAUUGUGUAAUAAAUGGCAGGUGAGCAGUGCACUCUCAUGCCCUCUUGGCUGAUAGUGUUGUCUUCUGUUUAACACAUUUACUGUUUAUACCCCCUUUACCAUUUGUAAUGGGGGCUAUAUAGGAGUCACUUUGUCUGUCUGUUUGUCUGUCCCGAAAGCUUGUCCGGGCAAUAACUAUGUUGUUCAUUGUGAGAUUUAAAAAUCAUUUAGCACAUUUGUUCACCAUCAAUGGACGGUGUGUCGCGCGGAAGAAUUACGUCGAUAUCUCACAGGUCAAGGUCACACUUUGAGUUCAAAGGUCAAAAAUGGCCAAAAAUGAGCUUGUCCUGGCCAUAACUUUGUCAAUUAUUAUGAGAUUUUAAAAUCAUUUGGCACGUUUGUUCACCAUAAUUGGACGGUGUGUCGUGCGAAAGAAUUUCCUCGAUAUCUCCAAGGUCAAGGUCACACUUUGAGUUCAAAGGUCAAAAAUGGCCAUACAUGAGCUUGUCCGGGCAAUAACUACCGGUAUGUAGUUCAUUGUGAGAUUUUAAAAUCAUCUGGCACAUUUGUUCACCAUCACUGGACAGUGUGUCGCGCGAAAGAAUUACAUCAAUAUCUCCAAGGUCAAGGUCACACUUUGAAUUCAAAGGUCUAAAAUGGCAAUAAAUGAGUUUGUCUGGGCCAUAACUAUGUCGUUCAUUGUGAGAUUUUAAAAUCAUUUGGCACAUUUGUUCACCAUCACUGGAUAGUGUGUCACGAGAAAGAAUUACGUCGAUAUCUCCAUGGUUAAGGUCACACUUUGACUUCAAAGGUCAAAAAUUGCGAUAAAUGAGCUUUUCUGGGCCAUAACUAUGUCGUUAAUUGUGAGAUUUUCAAAUCAUUUGGCAUAUUUGAUCAUCAUCAUUGGACGGUGUGUCGCGCGAAAUAAUUACGUUGAUAUUUCCAAGGUCAAGGUCACACUGAGUUGAAAGGUCAAAAAUGGCCAUAAAUGAGCUUGUCUGGGCCAUAAAUACGUCGUUCAUUGUGAGAUUUUAAAAUCAUUAUUUUGUUCAUUAUCAUUGGACGGUGUGUCACACGAAAGAAUUAUGUCGUUAUCUCCAAGCUCAAGUUCACACUUUGAGUUCAAAGGUCAAAAAUGAAUAUAAACAAGCUUGUCCGGGCCAUAACUAUGUCGUUCAUUAUGAGAUUUUAAAAUCAUUUGACAAUUUUGUUAACCAUCAUUGGACCGUGUGUCAUGCAAAAGAAUUACGUCAAUAUCUCCAAGGUCAAGGUCACACUUUGAGUUCAAAAGUAAAAGAUGGCCAUAUAUGAGCUUUUCCGGGCCAUCUUGUGAAGACAGCAUGCAUAAUAGUCAGUGUCAAUGCGGCACGUGGGGGUAUACGUCACGUCGGUGACAAAGCUCUAGUUUCUUAGUGCUUUCACUUCACCACAUAAGACCUCUCCAGCCCACAAAUAGUGCACUAUAUAAACAAGUAUUCAUGUUAUCAUGCUGAUUGCAACUUUUACUACAUGCUCUUUUUGUUAUAUAGUUCAUUUGUUAAAUAUGCAAAAUAUAAUUUUAUGAAUGUGAUGUUUUAAUGCCCCUUUAAAAAGUGGUGAUAUGCUGCUUUGCACCUGGCCAUUGGUCCAUAGACUGUUUUGUUUUCGCAUUAUACCUGGAGAACACUUUUACCUACAAUAGUGCAAAUUCCUAUGGUUUCUUUGGUUGAAAGUACCCUUUGGAUUUUUAGUUUACAGGUAAAUGGUCCAGUUUUUUUCCCCAGCUAAAGGCGAGGGGUAUAGAAUUGGGAUUGUCUGUCUGUCCGUCUGUCACAAAACUUGUGUAGGGCUAUAUCUGAGAAACUAUAUAAGAUAUCAACAUUAAUCUUAAUAGGUGUAUAUAUAUCAAAUGAGGAGAUGUGCUAUGCACUAGAACCAGAACCAUACACUUGCUUUAAUGAGAGUUAUUGCCCUUUGUUUUUGUUCUUUUUCUAUGAUGAAUUUUUUAUCUGGGCUAUAUCUCAGAUACCAUGCAAGAUUUCAACAUGAAACUUAAUGGGUGUAUUGAUAUUAAUCAGGAGAAGUGCCAUGCUUAAGAACCAUAAUCAUUCACUUUUUUGUUCCCUACCGGUUUCACCGUAGGGACUUAUGGUUUGCUCUCUGUCUCUGUCAGUCAGUCACACUUUUCUGGAUCCUGCGAUAACUUUAAAAGUUCUUAAUAUUUUUUAAUGAAACUUGAAACAUGGAUAAAUGGCAAUAUGGACAUUAUGCACAUCAUUUCAUUUUGUUCCUACGUCAAAAAUUCUGGUUGCUAUGGCAACAAAUAGACUAAAAAUACUGCUGAAAAAGUUCUUAAUAGUUUUUCAUGAAACUUGAAACAUGGAUAGAUGGCAAUAUGGACAUUACGCACGUCAUUUCAUUUUGUUCCUAUGUCAAAAAUUCUGGUUGCUAUGGCAACAAAUAAAAAAAAUCUGACAAUGGUGGAGCCGGUAGGGGACUAUAUUGCUUGGCAAUAGUCUUGUUUAAUAAUAGUUAUUGCCCUUUGUUGUUUUUGUAUGAAGGAACUUUACAGGGCUUUAUCUCCGAUAUGAUAAAACAUUUCAACAUGAAACUUCAUGGAUGUGUAGAAAUCAAUAGGAAGAAGUGCCAUUCAUAAGAACCAUAACCCUACACUUUCUUAACUAAAAGCAAUUGCCCUUUGUUUUGUUAUUUUUGUAUGAUGUAACUGGUCAAGGCUUUAUCUCAGAUACGCUACAAGAUUUAAACAUGAAACUUCAUGGGUGUACAGAUAUCAAUGAGGAGUAUUGCAAUUCAUAUGAACAAUUACCCUACUAAUUAUUACCUUAUUAAUUAUAAACCUACACUUAAUAAUUAUAUUGUAUAUCAAGGGAUUUGCACCGAUCCAUAAACAAAGUUUAUUUCUAGGGGGAUAUCAAUUCAACAAAUUGACUUGUUCAUGUAUUUGGAGGACAACAUAAUUUGGAUUUUAACAUGAAAUUAGUUUCUGCACAAUAUUAAGAGCAUGUUUUAAUCUACAACAGUGAUCUAAAUAAGCACAUGUCUGCAAACCCUGCACUGGUGAGAUUAUGAACCUUACUUGUUUUUAACAGACUGGCUUAUGACAAAUUAUUAAGUAAUAAUGUAAGACUUUGAGCAUGCUUGGUAAAACUGCUGAUUUCAAUGAAUGAAAUGCUAUUGCAAAUUGGUUUGAUGGUGGGUUUUUUUAUGCCCCCGGUAGGGUGGCAUAUAGCAUUUGAACUGUCUGUCUGUCCGUCUGUCCGAAAACGUUAACAUUGCCCAAAACUUUUGCAAUAUUGAAGAUGCACAUGCAUGCCAAAUAUCAAGCUGCUUUAGCUUGAUAUUUGGCAUGCAUGUGUAUCUCAUGGAGCUGCACAUUUUGAGUGAUGAAAGGUCAAGGUCAUCCUUCAAGGUCAAAUAUAUGGCUUCAAAGCAGCGCAGUAGGGGCCAUUGUGUUUCACAAACACAGCUCUUGUUUAUUUUUAUUGUUUGAAUAAUAUUUUGUACUUUAAGAAUGAGUUAACAGUUGAAAUUGUUCACAGUUUAUUAAAUGGAUGUUUUGCUCCACUGUGCACACCAUACUGUGUUGAGCUUUGUAAUUGUCUUUAAUAGUCAUUUGUCAUCAGCUUGUACCCAGUAAAAACUUCAUCAGCCACAUUGAUGGGUCAAUAAUCAUCAAACGUGCUUGCACUGUUUAUUUCAACUAUAUUUUGGAGGAAAUAGUUCAUAUCGAAUAGUACGAAAAUGAACCUGUGGCUGCAUAAGACAAAGGUCGCUUAAAUCAAGUGGUCGCAUCCACAAGAUUGACUGUACAUUAGUUGACAGAGGGGCAUGCAUAUUUUACCAACAUCUCUUUUCCACAUAAAUUUCCAUAUUUAAGUACAUUUAUCUCUGUUUAACCACUUGCAGUUAGAGAAAAAGUACUAACCCUGUUGUAAUUUAUUAUCCAAUGCAAAAUUAUUAUUUUUGUGAAUACAUUUAAAUGAAACCAAUAAACAAAACUGGUAAACUUU